GUUAAAGAUAUAUUAUGUAUAGAUCGGGAGCUGUAAUGGCAUGGAACGUAUUCAGAUUCUGUACUGCUUUGCGAGGGCUUGGUUCGAUCAUGAUCCUUUUGGUUUUGGGUGUUGUUGGAGUUACCUAUUACGCCGUCGUUUUAACAAACUAUGGUCCUUCCCUUGCCAGUAGUGUUGGUUUCCUUGAUGUCCUCAUUGCUCUUUCAGUACUUGUAUUAUUCCAUUGUCUGUUGGUGAUGCUUCUGUGGUGCU
RNAcentral lists this unclassified non-coding RNA (252 nucleotides) under Hevea brasiliensis (rubber tree). Lineage: Eukaryota; Viridiplantae; Streptophyta; Magnoliopsida; Malpighiales; Euphorbiaceae. The record is from RNAcentral.